UGGGGGAUAUUGCACAAUGGGCGAAAGCCUGAUGCAGCGACGCCGCGUGGGGGAUGAAGGCCUUCGGGUUGUAAACUUCUUUUGCUCUGAACAAGGCAUGCCUUUGGGGUGUGUUGAGUGUAGGGGUUGAUUAGCGCCGGCUAACUACGUGCCAGCAGCCGCGGUAAUACGUAGGGCGCGAGCGUUGUCCGGAAUUAUUGGGCGUAAAGGGCUUGUAGGUGGCUGGUUGCGUCUGUCGUGAAAGCUCAUGGCUUAACUGUGGGUUUGCGGUGGGUACGGGCCGGCUUGAGUGCAGUAGGGGAGGCUGGAAUUCCUGGUGUAGCGGUGGAAUGCGCAGAUAUCAGGAGGAAUACCGGUGGCGAAGGCGGGUCUCUGGGCUGUUACUGACGCUGAGGAGCGAAAGCGUGGGGAGCGAACAGG
RNAcentral lists this ribosomal RNA (420 nucleotides) under Fusobacteriota bacterium. RNAcentral describes it as "Fusobacteria bacterium partial 16S ribosomal RNA". It matches the Rfam family "Bacterial small subunit ribosomal RNA", at positions 355 to 776 of the family's 1533-position model. The record is from RNAcentral. Lineage: Bacteria; Fusobacteriati; Fusobacteriota.